Molecule: ribosomal RNA, 909 nt
Filed under: Boeremia foveata
Lineage: Eukaryota; Fungi; Ascomycota; Dothideomycetes; Pleosporales; Didymellaceae
Description: LSU rRNA
Rfam family: Eukaryotic large subunit ribosomal RNA
Source: RNAcentral
GCAUAUCAAUAAGCGGAGGAAAAGAAACCAACAGGGAUUGCCCUAGUAACGGCGAGUGAAGCGGCAACAGCUCAAAUUUGAAAUCUGGCGUCUUUGGCGUCCGAGUUGUAAUUUGCAGAGGGCGCUUUGGCAUUGGCAGCGGUCCAAGUUCCUUGGAACAGGACGUCACAGAGGGUGAGAAUCCCGUACGUGGUCGCUAGCCUUUACCGUGUAAAGCCCCUUCGACGAGUCGAGUUGUUUGGGAAUGCAGCUCUAAAUGGGAGGUAAAUUUCUUCUAAAGCUAAAUACUGGCCAGAGACCGAUAGCGCACAAGUAGAGUGAUCGAAAGAUGAAAAGCACUUUGGAAAGAGAGUUAAAAAGCACGUGAAAUUGUUGAAAGGGAAGCGCUUGCAGCCAGACUUGCCUGUAGUUGCUCAUCCGGGUUUUUACCCGGUGCACUCUUCUAUAGGCAGGCCAGCAUCAGUUUGGGCGGUUGGAUAAAGGUCUCUGUCACGUACCUCCUCUCGGGGAGAACUUAUAGGGGAGACGUAAUGCAACCAGCCUGGACUGAGGUCCGCGCAUCUGCUAGGAUGCUGGCGUAAUGGCUGUAAGCGGCCCGUCUUGAAACACGGACCAAGGAGUCUAACAUCUAUGCGAGUGUUUGGGUGUCAAGCCCGAGCGCGUAAUGAAAGUGAACGGAGGUGGGAACCUUUCGGGGUGCACCAUCGACCGAUCCUGAUGUCUUCGGAUGGAUUUGAGUAAGAGCAUAGCUGUUGGGACCCGAAAGAUGGUGAACUAUGCUUGAAUAGGGUGAAGCCAGAGGAAACUCUGGUGGAGGCUCGCAGCGGUUCUGACGUGCAAAUCGAUCGUCAAAUUUGGGCAUAGGGGCGAAAGACUAAUCGAACUAUCUAGUAGCUGGUUUCCUGCCGA